CGACGAUCGCUACCGCUUUGAAAAAGAAAUCUGAUUUCUUUUUUCAUCGUUGCUUUUAUCAGACUGUAAUCCGACAGUUCAAUUUUACUAUUUUACUUCGUGCAAACGGUCGGGUUCUACCGGACCGGAUAUGCUACAACCUGAAAUCUUGCAAUCCCCUUUAAUCUGCAGCGCAACCGCGCAACUAAAUGAAAUUCAGAGAUAACAAGCAACUAGUCACCCAGUUGCUUUCUAAGACAGCGAUCUGAGAAGCAGGAACUUUCAAAAACUGAAAAGGGAAAGGAUAAAGACAGUGGAAAUGUUCAGGAUAACAUGGGAAGAAACUUUUGGCACGACAAAGACAUACUCGCGGAAACUUGACAUCGACUUGGUCCUUCUUUUUUUCAAAACGAUAAAUUCGGGCCACCGGCUUCUGCCUCUCCGAAUGUAUUCCGGAAUAUUGUGAUUUAUCGGCGUCGCAAAGGAGACGACGCGCACCGAAUGGAUUAACGUUUCGGAUGUUAUAGCUCGUUCUAUCCGGCAUCGGCCUAUACGCGGCAUAACAAUGCGAGUUUUACGUGGAAACGAGGUUAAAGAAAGGAGAAUGCAAGUCGAAUACCGAAGGGAAUAAGCAAUUUCUCUUAAAAAUCUUGUUAGUUACGAAAAAAGAAAAUUAAAUUGUAUUUAUUCUUAGUUGGUAAAACAUUAAACUUGUACAAAUUAAUGUAAAUUACCGUGUAAAGGUAAUUCAACUAUUUGAUCAUUUACCUUGAAAGAAGCGUGCAGACAGUCGAUAUCACUGUCAAUAUUUAAGCUUCUCAACGUUGUAUUGACAAUAUUAUGUUGAUCGUCUAGAGGAUCUCUUACGUGCCAUAAUGUCGAAAACUUUUAAUAUUGACAAUAAUAUUGAUCGGCCGAACGCUCCUUAGCUCUUCCCCCUCCAAUUUUUCUUCCUAGUCAUUUGUGAACUUUGAAAAAUUACAUCGGAAAUAUAGAUAGAUUUUGAAGACCAAAACAAACAGGCGGAAGAACGAAAAAUCAAUCGAAAAUUUUUCUUUCUUUACAUUCCGAAUAUAAAUAAAAUAUUAGUGAACAAAUUAAACUGUAAAUUGUACGUGAACGAGUGUCGGACGAGUCACGUACUGCCAUCUAUUGAAGAUGUAAGGAACAGCAACUUAGAGUAUGCGAGGAUAGAUGGCAGUACAUGGCUUAUCCGAAAUGUAUAGUGUCGAUAUUCAUAGCAUACCACGCAUGCACAGAAAGAAAAACUUUCUACCUUCCAUGUUGAUUUUUCAUGACUCAAUUUUUUGUACGGUUGCUUCUAUGCUUUCGAUAGGGAGAGAAUUUUCUCUCUGUUUUCGGUGCAGAAGUGUCGAGAAACGAGACUAGUUUGUUUUAUUAGGAUACCAUUAUGUAUCUAAUAUCGCGAGUGUUACAAUGGUUUCAUGAAUUAGUUCUUACCAAUUAUUCAUUUACAUAGAUAUCUAAAAGUUAUACUUUUUGAAACUGUCAACUGUUUUACUAACAUUUUUAGACUCGUUAGCCCAGUUAUAUUACAGUAAUUUGUAUUUCAUAGUGUUACAAGAGAAGGAAAAAUAAACAGAGAUUUUUUGUAAAA
Molecule: long non-coding RNA, 1597 nt
Organism: Bombus huntii
Lineage: Eukaryota; Metazoa; Arthropoda; Insecta; Hymenoptera; Apidae
Exons: 2
Source: RefSeq, a predicted model, not a curated record